RNAcentral lists this long non-coding RNA (560 nucleotides) under Androctonus crassicauda. Lineage: Eukaryota; Metazoa; Arthropoda; Arachnida; Scorpiones; Buthidae. The record is from RNAcentral.
UUAAAACUGUUUAUAUUGCUUUUUUUACACUUAUAAAGUUCUAAAUAAUAACAGAUUCACGGCGGCUGUGCUUGAACAGUCCCUUUAUUUGCCUGACAUUUACCUGACAGACCCAACAUGUAAACUGGCUGAAAGAGUAAAAAGAAUGAUGAGGCACCCAGCAUUCUCAGACAUGUGGAGGAAAGAAAUAGUACUGGAUCCGGCGUCCCUGAGACUUUUCGCCUUUAUUAAAAUGCACAAGCAUCCCAUUGCUGCCCGUCCAAUAGUAGAAAAAAUCAAAGCGCCCACAUAAAAGUUGGAGAGAGCAAUAGCGAGCUGGAUAAUGGAAAUUAACCAAAGUAUGCCCCACUCAGCACUCUCAACACACCAGGUCCUAACCAGGUUAAGAGAAAUAAAAUGGUCCCCUGAAAAUAUGUUAACAUCCUGUGACUUUAAGAAUUUGUACCCAGUACUGAAGAUAGAACCGGUAAGUCUCAUGCUAUAUAGAUUUUUGCUGGCCAAUACUUCACAAACUAAUGGAAGUCCGGAACUAUACACAGAGUUAGUCACAAUUCUAUGUC